ACCAGAUGCAAUAUAUAUUUGUAUAUCUUUAUCAAAACCCAACGCUUGCAAAAUCAAUGCUGCCUCUUCUGGGGUGAGAGGACACAAUCCUUGAGAUCUCUUCUCCUCAGAUACAAUCUCUUUCUCCCUCCACCAAGGGAAUGCAUACCUUAACCGUUUGAGCUCCUCAGCUUCCUCCUCAGUGCAGCCAUGGGUACAACCAGAGAAUGCCAACAUAUCCAUCUCAUAUCUUAGAUGCAAUGCUACAAAUGGCCCUCUCUCCUGAAGCAAUCGUACCAAUUUUUCUCCCAAAGCCUCAAUAUCUGGAGUGAAUUUCAAUGCCUGGAAAUUCACACGACAUCUGAGUUUUUGAAGCUCAAGAGGAAUCCCA
This 370-nucleotide unclassified non-coding RNA is filed under the name Hevea brasiliensis (rubber tree). Lineage: Eukaryota; Viridiplantae; Streptophyta; Magnoliopsida; Malpighiales; Euphorbiaceae. The record is from RNAcentral.